RNAcentral lists this ribosomal RNA (488 nucleotides) under uncultured bacterium. Its description in RNAcentral is "bacterial SSU rRNA". It matches the Rfam family "Bacterial small subunit ribosomal RNA", at positions 28 to 468 of the family's 1533-position model. The record is from RNAcentral.
GAUGAACGCUGGCGGCAUGCCUAAGACAUGCAAGUCGUACGAAGUGGCCCAUUGAUGAUUGAGUGCUUGCACAAGAUUUGAUUUGGAUUCCCACUUAGUGGCGCAAGGGUGAGUAACGCGUAGGUUAUCUGCCUUCGAGUUUGGAAUAACAAUUAGAAAUGAUUGCUAAUGCCGGAUUAUAUUUAAGAUGAUACGUUGUCUUAAAUUAAAAGGAGCCUUUAAAGCUUCGCUUGGAGAUGAGCCUGCGUCGUAUUAGCUAGUUGGUGGGGUAAUGGCCUACCAAGGCAACGAUGCGUAGCCGACCUGAGAGGGUGAUCGGCCACACUGGGACUGAGACACGGCCCAGACUCCUACGGGAGACAGCAGUUAGGAAUAUUCGUCAAUGGGGGAAACCCUGAACGAGCAAUGCCGCGUGAAGGAUGACGGUCCUUUGGAUUGUAAACUUCUGUUGUUAGGGAAGAACAAGCUGUAUAGGAAAUGAUACAGUU